This 482-nucleotide ribosomal RNA is filed under the name uncultured bacterium. RNAcentral describes it as "partial 16S ribosomal RNA". It matches the Rfam family "Bacterial small subunit ribosomal RNA", at positions 28 to 507 of the family's 1533-position model. The record is from RNAcentral.
GUUGAACGCUGGCGGCAUGCCUUACACAUGCAAGUCGAACGGUAACAGGUCUUCAGCUGCUGACUAGUGUCGCACGGGUGAGUAAUACAUCGGAACGUGCCCGAACCUCGUGGGUAACGAACCGAAAACUUGGCUAAUACCGCAUAAGAUCUACGGAUGAAAGCCAUGGACAUCAAUGCCUUGCGCGAACGAAGCGGACGAUGGCGGAUUAGGUAGUUGGUGGGGUAAAAGCUUACCAAGCCGACGAUCUGUAGCUGAUCUGAGAGGAAGACCAGCCACAUUGGGACUGAGACACGGCCCAGACUCCUACGGGAGGCAGCAGUGGGGAAUUUUGGACAAUGGGCGAAAGCCUGAUCCAGCAAUGCCGCGUGGAGGAUGAAGGCCUUCGGGUUGUAAACUGCUGUUGUAAGGAAAGAAAAGACUCUGGUUAAUACCUGGGGUCCAUGACGGUACCGUAAGAAUAAGCACCGGCUAACUACGUG